Gasterosteus aculeatus aculeatus (three-spined stickleback) is the source of this 4455-nucleotide long non-coding RNA. NCBI's taxonomy places the organism in Eukaryota, Metazoa, Chordata, Actinopteri, Perciformes, Gasterosteidae. The record is from Ensembl.
AAAAAGAUGAAAGCAUUCUAACAUGAAAAGUGUCCAACGAGGGUUAAUUGUGCGCUAGAUUGGGGUCAAACAAACAUUCAAGGUACCCCAGUUCCAAAAACACCUUUGGUGGCAAUCUUUCACUGUUAUCUUAGCUACAAUGGUACCGUGCUGAGAGGAAAGGCAUUAAAUGCUGUCCUUCAAGCCAUUCUGAUUAAAUACUGGGAAAAUACAUAAAGCAUUGUAUUGUCAGGCUCCAGAAAACCUGCCAGGCCAACCCUAUUGGGAAAUCUUUAUUGUCCAUCAUGGCCCGUUUAGCAUGCAACAUUGCGAUAAACAGACAUGUUUUACUGAACGUUUGCCCCCACCCUUGAGGUUAUUUAUGGGCCCUCUACAUACAGCCUGUGCUUCCCAGCCAAACACCCUGACUGCUUUAUGCUUUGUUGCUUGUAGCACAAACCCCUUAUUGUAAACAGCCGCAACAGCAGUUGCAAAUUUGGAGGCCUGGAGGGGAAGUGUCUGUACAAGAAGAGGACGUGAUUUUGAAGUAGGAUUCGUUCUUUUUUUUCAACGUCUCAGUAAAAUUCUUUAAGACGUUAUAAGCUCUGUUUUGCUAUCAUUGUCACUGCAGUACAAUAUCCCAGCUCUCUAUGCUUGAGCCCAUCAUUUAUCUAUUGCAUUCUGUUUCUAUUCUAUUGCAUUUGAUUUUAUUUUAAGUCUAUUAUGUCACAAAAUGCAGCUGCUUUGCAGCUUCCCUGAGUGCUGUUUCCUCAUACUUUCACUCACACCCUUGUGGUCUAUCUCCGGUGUACCAGACACCCAGCAAGUGAAAUAAAAUGCAUCUUAAUCUCAAACGGUACUGACCUGGGUUUCUUCGUAGCAACUCUUCCAUCAGAGUGAGCGAAGUAGACUUUAUCACAGGGAAUUCACACAGAGCGAGAACGAAUUAGUCCAGAGAAGUGCACAGGUACACAUAUAGCACAGAUAUGUGAUGGAUAUGGUUGAUAAAUCACAAGCCUAUCAUGUUUCAGCAUCCAUGCACUUAAGAAAAUGUGACACCGGCUGUUACAGCUUUAUGGGGACUUUGAGAAGACAAACUGCUCUUGGAAGCCAUUAUAGUGGUCAUUGUGUCUCGGCAACAGCAGCCUGAUGAUAGUUGAAACAAAAAACAGACAUUUUUACAAUUGUUGCUGCCAUACAGCGCUGCUGAUUUUGAUAGUCCACCGCUAUGUAUGAAUGAUAUUUCACUUCUGCUCACACUGGGACACUUUACACGUUUUAACGGAAAAUAACCACUCCUUGUUGGCAGCUGUCAGGGAUGAAGGCGCCACUUUUUGAAUAGUCGAAGGAUAGUAAAAGCAACAGGGUCCGUUGGACAGCAUGAGUGACAUACUCUACCAUUAUUCUAGUAGAAAAGCAGCAGCAGCACACCCAUUGCACCAAUAGCACAGUCUGCGUCCGGGGCAGAUUGCAGCCAAUCACCUCUUCAGCAGAGGGAACGAUGUGCUGCAGUCCAUUAAAAUGUAUUUUACAUCUAUUGUUUUGGUUUGGUCUUUUUGAUUAAUUCUGCACUGCAUGAAAAGUGGGAUUUUCGGCAGUAUGCGGCACUAUAAAUUGUCGUGGAAUUUCAGGUUUGCGGCAAUUUGCGGGCAACGCCGAAAACUGCCGGAAAUUGUCAGAAAUUGAUGUGGGCCUCCCUUGGCAGUUGUCCCCCCAUGACCCCCCUCCUCCUAAUUCUAGGGGAGGCUUUGACAUGUAAAUGAAAAUGCUGUGAGCUAUACAAAUGCAAAUCAGGGUCGCAGAGGGAGUUUUAGCCCAGGUGACAUUUUUUUAAAAGGUAAGAAAAUCUCUGGUACAAAUAGAUCAGGCUCAGUAGCCUAAUUAUAGACUCUUACAUUUUAGCUUGAAUUGAUUUAUUUAAUUCAAAUAUGCUAGAUUACUGUGUACGCCAUUAGCAAUGGCAAAUGUUAUGUAAAAAAGAUACACAAAAUAACUUAAAAAAUGAGUUUUAAUCAAGGUAAAAUGAGCAUUCCAUGCAAACAACAUUUGAAUCAGAAUGAGGGGUCUGCAGGGAUCACAGUCUCCUAGAGCUCAACUACAGUGCAUAGUGGCAGGACUACAGUGACCUUUUCUUUGGUCUUACUUAAAUGCACAGAGGAUGUAUUAACCACACAUCUUCUAGCAAUGCGCUCAACUGGCAGAAAUGAUGCUGGGUAUGACUAUAGCAAAUUGUAAAUUGGCUUAUUUGAGGAAAUUGCACUUUCUUGUUUCUUGUUCUCCUGAGUUUGUACCCUAUGGUUGAAUGCACUUAUUGUACGUCGCUUUGGAUAAAAGCGUCCGCUAAAUGACAUGUAAUGUAAUGUAAUAUAAUGUAAUGACGUAUCUGUUCCCUGCAAGCCCCAAACUUCUAUUGGCUUUCCAUAAAAAUGUCUGUCCGGGUGGAGAUGAAGCCAGGAAACUUGUGCAAGAACAUGUUUAAAUGCCGUACCCUUUGACACAACAUUAACAACUAUAAACUGCUUUAUAAUGGCUGGUCGUAGUUCUGCUAGAGGGUCAAGGACGGGUUCCUCAAAACUGUUAGUGUUUCCACACCACUUAGCAUAAACACAUGCUGACCCUUAUGCUCUACAUCUAUCGAUUGAGUAAGUUACAUUCAUACAUGUUACCCGUUUACAUGUCAUGGCAAAACAUUCAACCUCAGUGACACAAGGGUACAUUUGAUGAUACAUUGUCAACAUUGCAUGUCUGUCAGACUCAUCCAAGAUUGUCUGGUGUAAUGGAGAAAGAGGCACCACUGUACAGUUUUCUAGGAAAAGUCGUUCUGCUGACACCAAAACACUGCUUUACAUAAAGCAUAUCAGCUGUUUCAAAGUCCCAACCAUUUGUCUUCCUAAAAUACUGGUCCUUCCGUAUAACAAUAACCUCAUAUGUGAUUGGAGGACCCUUAGACUCCUCGUCCAAUCACGUGUGAGGUCAUAGGCAUGACUGAUACAGCAGUACUUGCAAGACGAGCAUACAAACAGACACUAUAUUCAGAAGAACUGUAUCUCCAGUGUGGUGGAAGAUUUUGCACAGACAAUCGUUAAGUAAGAAUCAAAGGCUCUGAGUCAAGUAUGUCUUUUCUCCGUUUAUUUCCUUGCAAGGGAAAAAGGGUCACAACAGCUACGUGGUCAGUAGACUGUCAAGAACCUCCUUUUCUUCCCAACACAUCGAGGCAGUUCUUAUACCUAAGUUUAGAUAUCGGUGGCGUCAACAGAAACCGUUAACCAUCUUGUUGAGUCUCUACAGCCAGGGUACUGGGAACACCUUGUCCAUGUGAGACACGUCAGUUCUUUGACCGUGUCCUUGCUCUCCCAACAUGCUUAAACAAAGGUGGUCAUAGACGUAACAAACACUUUGUUCAAUCUCUACAGCUAUGACGCUGGAACCAUCUAAUCCAAGUGGGAGACAUCAGUUCUUAUGUCAGGGCCUUUGUGACCUAAGCACUUGCAACUAAUAAACUGGUUAUACAAAUGAAGCAUUUAAAAGGGUCACAUAUCAUUUUCCCAUUACACCAGUUCCUUUGUUUGGUUUUUGCUGGUUCGUGAAUAAUGGCUGGACGACGUCUCGCGUUCAACUCGCCUUCAACUCCUCUCCGCGGUCACCAACUUUCGGCCAGUCCGCAGACAGACGAGAAGAAGCUGCUGAAUGCUCUCAGUGGAUUGUCUCGUCAACUCCAACAACAAACUGCCGAUAUCAACGAGCGGUUCGCUCCACUGGAGCGUUCGGGACUCUCCAGGUUUCUGUCCAUGGAGGAGAGGAACCGACUCAAAGAAGAGGAGACGGGCGCACAAUCCCAAGAUAGCGGAAGCGGUGCGCCGUCUUCACAACUCCGAGACGAAUUACAGGCGCUACGAACCGGAGCAAGGACUAAUCUCGCCUCAUAAUGAGGCGGUGACCUCGUAUUUGCUCCGGGAAAAAUCCAGAUUUAGACGACGUCAUUGUGUCCGCCUGUAAGACGUAUUUUGAGACGUACGCAGGAGCUUCAGGUUUUCCCAGCCGGAACACUGAUUGCGGGCGGAAGCUGCGAAGGAUUCAGCGCGGAGUCGAGCGAGAAGAAAGAGGCUGCUGGAAUCGAGACAAAGUGUGCUGGCUGAUGACGAGGUGGCACUCUGGAAAUCCGCCACCGUGGAGCUCACGUUGGACGGAGAGGAUGGCGUUGUUGGCGGGGUCUCGGGGUGGAUUGUACGGUCGCCACACACACGAGGCGCCUGCACAACAGACCUGCCUCGGAAAACACGGCGCCAGUGACGGUCCACAACCCCGAGGAGGCCAACGGACAGUUUACUGGGCUGUAGUUUUUAAACCGCCGUUACCCAAGUGUGGUCAGAUCCUCACUUUGUAUGUAGUUGUUGUUUGUGUGUUGUUAAUAAAGCUCUUUCUUUGCAUAAACAUGUGGCAAAUGUUCAUUUUCUCUAUAAAUUCAUUGAUGUCCUG